This is a long non-coding RNA of Ostrinia nubilalis (European corn borer), 343 nucleotides long. RefSeq lists it as uncharacterized. The record is from RefSeq and is a predicted model, not a curated record. Lineage: Eukaryota; Metazoa; Arthropoda; Insecta; Lepidoptera; Crambidae. The transcript is spliced from 3 exons.
GGAAGAAGGCGAAGCAUGCGACUGCGGUCUCCCAUCACGAUGCAGCCACAGAGACCCUUGCUGCACCCCGCGAGCUGGCGGAGCGCUGGUUUUUGAUGAGGGAGCUCUACACAAAGAAGGCUGCUCAGUGGCGCCCUCUGCGGUAUGCCACCCCUCGCAAGGACUAUGCUGCAACUCCAAGUGCCAGUAUGCGGAUCUCUCGAAUAGCGGUAUUGACUGCAAACGGCAAGAGAGUGAAUGCACAUGUGUGAGCGAGGCCACUGAGUGCCGCUGCGGACUCAACGGGCGCUGCUUCGAGGACGGCAGCUGUCAUGCGGCGGAGUGCGCCAUAUUAGGGCUGCGG